AAGAACAGUCUGGUCACAAUAUUAUGACCACCUAUUUAUAUCUACACAAACUGUGCAUUUUUUUAGCUCCACUGACCAUACAGGAAAUUGUUGUCUAAAAAUUACAAUCUGUAGUUCUGUAUCUGUUUUUGUGUAUACUUUAUUAUUCUCCUCCUUUUACUCUGUUCUUCAAUACUCAGAACCCCACAGAAGAGAAAACCACCACAGAGCAGCUAUUAUUAUUAAUAUUAUUUGGAUCAUGUGUUGUUUAUUUUCAGCACUGCAGUGAUUAGCAGUGAUUAGCAUGGUGGUGGUGUAUGAGGUGUUAGUGUGUGUUGAGCUGGUACGGUGAGUGGAUCAGAUACAGCAGUGAUUAGCAGUGAUUAGCAUGGUGGUGGUGUAUGAGGUGUUAGUGUUGUUGAGCUGGUGGUACAGUGAGUGGAUCAGAUACAGCAGUGAUUAGCAUGGUGGUGGUGUAUGAGGUGUUAGUGAGUGUUGAGCUGGUACAGUGAGUGGAUCAGAUACAGCAGUGAUUAGCAGUGAUUAGCAUGGUGGUGGUGUAUGUGGUGUUAGUGAGUGUUGAGCUGGUGGUACAGUGAGUGGAUCAGAUACAGCAGUGAUUAGCACUGAUUAGCAUGGUGGUGGUGUAUGUGGUGUUAGUGAGUGUUGAGCUGGUGGUACAGUGAGUGGAUCAGAUACAGCAGUGAUUAGCAUGGUGGUGGUGUAUGAGGUGUUAGUGUGUGUUGAGCUGGUGGUACAGUGAGUGGAUCAGAUACAGCAGUGAUUAGCAUGGUGGUGGUGUAUGAGGUGUUAGUGUGUGUUGAGCUGGUACAGUGAGUGGAUCAGAUACAGCAGUGAUUAGCAUGGUGGUGGUGUAUGAGGUGUUAGUGUGUGUUGAGCUGGUACAGUGAGUGGAUCAGAUACAGCAGUGCUGCUGGAGUUUUUAAACACUGUGUUUUAUCUCUCAAUUCAAUUUUUUCAAUUCAAAUUGGCUUUAUUAGCAUGACUGUUUAAAAAAAAAACAAUGUUGCCAAAGCACACAAAUAUCAAAACCGAACCUAUAGUGAAACAACGAUGAAACAUAAACAUCAAUUAAUUAAAGAAAUAAUAAAAUUAUAGUGAUUAUAAUGAUCAAGUAUAAUAAUAUUAACAGUUGUUUAUUAGGGGAGUUACUCACUGUCCUUCAGGCGGUGACAAGUUGCCACAUAUUUAGCCGCAAGAGGUGCUGUUUUUCCUUCACCAAGAAAUAUUUUUGCCAAUUCACAUUCGC
Long non-coding RNA from Astyanax mexicanus (Mexican tetra), 1249 nucleotides. RefSeq lists it as uncharacterized. The record is from RefSeq and is a predicted model, not a curated record. The transcript is spliced from 3 exons. Lineage: Eukaryota; Metazoa; Chordata; Actinopteri; Characiformes; Acestrorhamphidae.